Molecule: transfer RNA, 65 nt
Filed under: Scolytinae sp. BMNH 1040351
Lineage: Eukaryota; Metazoa; Arthropoda; Insecta; Coleoptera; Curculionidae
Description: tRNA-Thr
Source: RNAcentral
GUUUUAAUAAUUUAAACAAAAUAUUGGUCUUGUAAACCAAAAAUAAGAAACCUUCUUUUAAAACA